Molecule: ribosomal RNA, 555 nt
Filed under: Triticum aestivum (bread wheat)
Lineage: Eukaryota; Viridiplantae; Streptophyta; Magnoliopsida; Poales; Poaceae
Description: partial small subunit ribosomal RNA
Source: RNAcentral
AUGAGCUCCAGCCAGAGGACGCUCCGGGACGUGAUGAUGCAGGAGGAGAGGCCGACCACCAUGGCCAGCCGCCUCCUCGCUCCGGACGCCUCCCUCUCCAACCCCUCCUUCCGCACCUACUACGGCGUCGCCUCCGCCGGCUCGGUGCCGUUCCUCUGGGAGUCGGCGCCGGGGACGCCCAAGAACGACGGCGCCUCGUCCAGGGCGCUCCCGCCCAUCACGCCGCCGCCUUCCUACUACAGCAAGACGAAGAUCACCAAGUCGGAGUCCUCCAAGAAGCUGCUCUCGUCCUCCAAGCCGGCCAGCUUCGUCCCGACGAUGUUCCGCAGGAGCCACACGAUGCCGGCUCCCUCACCGUCCAAGGAGUACAGCCGGAGGAAGAGGCUGGUGGCGAGCCCGCCGCGGUCGUCCUUCUCGUCCACGUCAAGGGGAGAGGACGAAGAAGCGGACGGCGGGGCGGCGUCACCGACGUCUACCCUGUGCUUCCGCGCCCGGCGCUCCGGCGGAGGAACCGGCAGGCUGCAUGGGAUGAUUGCCUCCGUGGUGGGAAGGUAA